CUUGUACACACCGCCCGUCACACCAUGGGAGCGGGUUCUGCCAGAAGUAGUUAGCCUAACCGCAAGGAGGGUGAUUACCACGGCAGGGUUCGUGACUGGGGUG
Molecule: ribosomal RNA, 103 nt
Filed under: uncultured bacterium
Lineage: Bacteria
Description: partial 16S ribosomal RNA
Rfam family: Bacterial small subunit ribosomal RNA
Source: RNAcentral